Molecule: ribosomal RNA, 379 nt
Filed under: Blepharisma japonicum
Lineage: Eukaryota; Ciliophora; Heterotrichea; Heterotrichida; Blepharismidae
Description: partial Bacterial large subunit ribosomal RNA
Rfam family: Bacterial large subunit ribosomal RNA
Source: RNAcentral
GGAAAGACCCUAUGCACCUUUACUAUAACUUAGUAUUGGGUUUGGUUGCAUGAUGCGUAGGAUAGGUGGGAGACUGCGAUCCGGUGCUUUCGGGCAUUGGGGAGUCAACGGUGAAAUACCACCCUUCAUGUAAUCGGAUUCUAACCCGGCGGAGUGUAUCCGCGGGGACAGUGCUAGGCGGGUAGUUUGACUGGGGCGGUCGCCUCCUAAAAUGUAACGGAGGCUUGCCAAGGUUCCCUCAGCACGGUUGGUAAUCGUGCGUAGAGUGCAAAAGCAUAAGGGAGCUUGACUGUAAGAGAGACAUCUCGAGCAGGGACGAAAGUCGGCUUUAGUGAUCCGGCGGCUCUGAAUGGAAAGGCCGUCGCUCAAAGGAUAAAAG